Molecule: transfer RNA, 86 nt
Filed under: Pseudoramibacter alactolyticus ATCC 23263
Lineage: Bacteria; Bacillati; Bacillota; Clostridia; Eubacteriales; Eubacteriaceae
Rfam family: tRNA
About the family: Transfer RNA (tRNA) molecules are approximately 80 nucleotides in length. Their secondary structure includes four short double-helical elements and three loops (D, anti-codon, and T loops).
Source: Rfam by way of RNAcentral
CGAGAGGUAUCGAAGUGGUCAUAACGAGGCGGUCUUGAAAACCGUUUGGGCGCAAGCCCGCGUGGGUUCGAAUCCCACCCUCUCGG